Molecule: long non-coding RNA, 1115 nt
Filed under: Citrus x clementina
Lineage: Eukaryota; Viridiplantae; Streptophyta; Magnoliopsida; Sapindales; Rutaceae
Description: Citrus clementina (C. clementina) long non-coding RNA (CCLE_LNC000041)
Source: RNAcentral
GUUUGUUAUGUAUUUUAGUAAUCUUUUUUUUUUCAGGGAGAAGAAACACAGAUAACAAGUGAAGCAGAAAGAGAAGAGAUUGUGUGACUGUAUAUGUCAACAACCAAAUGAUGUGUGUUGAUUUUCAAGUGGAAAUUUAUAGCCUGCAUAAGCUGAACUUGUUCUACUGUGCUGAUUAAUUGAAUCACAACACAGUUUGAAUAAUGACCUUAAUAGUCCAAUCCAGCAAAGAAUUCAGCACUCCAAUCAUAUGGGGACACACGUAUUGCACCUUCAUCAUGUCUGGGGAUUUUAAUAGUUUUGACUGAGUGAAUGAUUACUUCAAUUAAUAACAUUGCAUAUUAGAUUUACUAGACCUAAAAUUGAUUUCUUAUUAAAAAAUUUACUUGCAAUUUGGAAACUCUCUUUGACACAUUAAUUACAGACUCGAAAUCUGUAUCAAUAUUCCCCAUACAUAGACAGAACUGAGCAGAAAAAGUGGGAAGGCAGAUCGUAAUUAAAUUCGACAUGGUAGUUUCCAAGGAUGAAUAGCAUUUUUUUCAUUCGAAAAUGGGAUAAUUAUAUCUUUGAGUCACGUAAUGUACACUAAAGCUCUUCUCAACCUAGUGUGCGUCGGAUAUGUGAACGUCGUGGCUCCAGUCUCCCGUACAAUCUUUAAAAAACUUUUCGGUCAAAUUAACAAGUUGCACUCACUGUAUUUCCAUGGAUCACACUAUUUCAACUAAAAGAUAAGGUAAUAAGUAUCUGUAGGAUUUUACUGAAUGAUUUUUAAGUAGUUUUUAUUAAUUAAUUAUUUAAAUUCGAAUUAAAAAAAGACUAAAAAAUUCAUCUGAAUUUUUCUCACUCCCAAUCUUUAAAAAUAUAACAAAUAAUAAGUCAUAUAAAAAAUGUUUUAAACGCAAUUUUCACUUCAAACAUCUUUCAUUUGAAGUUUAAUUAUAUUCUCCAGUGGAACCUGGAUAAGUUGAAACAAAAUUUUAUUAAUAAAAAAAAGGAAACAGGACAAACACACCCCCAACGUUUAGGCAAAUGGACAAAAACCCCCCUAAUGUUUCAAAAAAGACAUUUACACCCCAAUUUAUUAUAAUUUUAUCAUUAUACCCUUCUAGCAUAUA